This 107-nucleotide microRNA precursor is filed under the name Nicotiana attenuata. RNAcentral describes it as "MIR6152 microRNA precursor family". It matches the Rfam family "MIR6152 microRNA precursor family". The record is from Rfam by way of RNAcentral. Lineage: Eukaryota; Viridiplantae; Streptophyta; Magnoliopsida; Solanales; Solanaceae.
UGGACAUAUUAUUGUGUUCAACUGUAUUCGACUCUAUUCACGGCGUGAAAUAGGGGAUUAAACUAUUUUUAUAACGGAAAGUGAAUCAAUUAACAUAAUAGACUCCU